GGUUUCCCUGGGGACUCGAUCCCCCUGAAGGGCCGUUGAAGACUACAACGUUGAUAGGCUGGGUGUGGAAGUUCAGUAAUGAAUGAAGCUAACCAGUACUAAUUGCCCGUGAGGCUUGGCCAUAUAACACCCAAGAAGU
RNAcentral lists this ribosomal RNA (139 nucleotides) under Gammaproteobacteria bacterium. RNAcentral describes it as "partial 23S ribosomal RNA". The stretch from base 1 to 123 matches the Rfam family "Bacterial large subunit ribosomal RNA", at positions 2808 to 2925 of the family's 2925-position model. Lineage: Bacteria; Pseudomonadati; Pseudomonadota; Gammaproteobacteria. The record is from RNAcentral.